UGAACGCUGGCGGCAUGCCUUACACAUGCAAGUCGAACGGCAGCACGGGUGCUUGCACCUGGUGGCGAGUGGCGAACGGGUGAGUAAUACAUCGGAAUGUACCUUGUAGUGGGGGAUAGCUCGGCGAAAGCCGGAUUAAUACCGCAUACGCUCUGAGGAGGAAAGCGGGGGACCUUCGGGCCUCGUGCUACAAGAGCAGCCGAUGUCAGAUUAGCUUGUUGGUGAGGUAAAAGCUCACCAAGGCGACGAUCUGUAGCUGGUCUGAGAGGACGACCAGCCACACUGGGACUGAGACACGGCCCAGACUCCUACGGGAGGCAGCAGUGGGGAAUUUUGGACAAUGGGCGAAAGCCUGAUCCAGCAAUGCCGCGUGUGUGAAGAAGGCCUUCGGUUGUAAGCACUUUGUCCGGUAAGAAUACCUUGGUUAAGUACCUCGGGGGAGUGACGGUACCGGAAGAAUAAGCACCGGCUAACUACGUGCCAGCAGC
Molecule: ribosomal RNA, 488 nt
Filed under: Pandoraea norimbergensis
Lineage: Bacteria; Pseudomonadati; Pseudomonadota; Betaproteobacteria; Burkholderiales; Burkholderiaceae
Description: bacterial SSU rRNA
Rfam family: Bacterial small subunit ribosomal RNA
Source: RNAcentral